RNAcentral lists this ribosomal RNA (548 nucleotides) under uncultured Glomeromycotina. Its description in RNAcentral is "SSU rRNA". It matches the Rfam family "Eukaryotic small subunit ribosomal RNA", at positions 548 to 1098 of the family's 1831-position model. The record is from RNAcentral. Lineage: Eukaryota; Fungi; Glomeromycota.
UUGGAGGGCAAGUCUGGUGCCAGCAGCCGCGGUAAUUCCAGCUCCAAUAGCGUAUAUUAAAGUUGUUGCAGUUAAAAAGCUCGUAGUUGAAUUUCGGGAUCAGAGUGUCGGUCGUGCCUCGGUACGCACUGGUAUUAUUGGUUCCUACCUUCUGAAGAACCGCGAUGUCAUUAAUUUGGUGUCGUGGGGAAUCAGGACUGUUACUUUGAAAAAAUUAGAGUGUUUAAAGCAGGCUUACGCUUGAAUACAUUAGCAUGGAAUAAUGAAAUAGGACGUUUGAUUCUAUUUUGUUGGUUUCUAGGAUUGACGUAAUGAUUAAUAGGGAUAGUUGGGGGCAUUAGUAUUCAAUUGUCAGAGGUGAAAUUCUUGGAUUUAUUGAAGACUAACUACUGCGAAAGCAUUUGCCAAGGAUGUUUUCAUUAAUCAAGAACGAAAGUUAGGGGAUCGAGGACGAUCAGAUACCGUCGUAGUCUUAACCAUAAACUAUGCCGACUAGGGAUCGGAUGAUGUUAAUUUUUUAAUGACUCAUUCGGCGCCUUACGGGAAAC